Molecule: small nuclear RNA, 77 nt
Filed under: Camelus bactrianus (Bactrian camel)
Lineage: Eukaryota; Metazoa; Chordata; Mammalia; Artiodactyla; Camelidae
Also listed under: 2 other names
Description: U4 spliceosomal RNA
Rfam family: U4 spliceosomal RNA
About the family: U4 small nuclear RNA (U4 snRNA) is a component of the major U2-dependent spliceosome. The structure of U4 snRNA from yeast and human has been reported.
Source: Rfam by way of RNAcentral
AGCUUUGCUAAAUGACAGCAUCCUUGCCAGUGAGGUUUAUCUGAGGCACGAUGAUUGCUAAUUGAAAACACCUGCAU